RNAcentral lists this ribosomal RNA (499 nucleotides) under uncultured bacterium. RNAcentral's name for it is "bacterial SSU rRNA". It matches the Rfam family "Bacterial small subunit ribosomal RNA", at positions 19 to 518 of the family's 1533-position model. The record is from RNAcentral.
CUGGCUCAGGAUGAACGCUGGCGGCGUGCCUAAUACAUGCAAGUCGAACGGAAAUUUAUCGCUGAAGUGGGUUACUCAAUUCUUGAUAAAUUUAGUGGCGGACGGGUGAGUAACGCGUGGGUAACCUGCCUUACACUGGGGGACAACAGUUGGAAACGACUGCUAAUACCGCAUAAGCGCACAGAAUCGCAUGAUUCAGUGUGAAAAACUCCGGUGGUGUAAGAUGGACCCGCGUCUGAUUAGCUAGUUGGUGAGGUAACGGCCCACCAAGGCGACGAUCAGUAGCCGGCCUGAGAGGGUGAACGGCCACAUUGGGACUGAGACACGGCCCAAACUCCUACGGGAGGCAGCAGUAGGGAAUAUUGCACAAUGGGGGAAACCCUGAUGCAGCAACGCCGCGUGAGUGAAGAAGUAUUUCGGUAUGUAAAGCUCUAUCAGCAGGGAAGAAAAUGACGGUACCUGACUAAGAAGCCCCGGCUAACUACGUGCCAGCCGCCGC